This 468-nucleotide ribosomal RNA is filed under the name uncultured bacterium. RNAcentral describes it as "partial 16S ribosomal RNA". It matches the Rfam family "Bacterial small subunit ribosomal RNA", at positions 28 to 507 of the family's 1533-position model. The record is from RNAcentral.
GACGAACGCUGGCGGCGUGCUUAACACAUGCAAGUCGAACGGAAAGGCCCUGCUUUUGUGGGGUGCUCGAGUGGCGGACGGGUGAGUAACACGUGAGUAACCUGCCCUUGACUUUGGGAUAACUUCAGGAAACUGGGGCUAAUACCGGAUAGGAGCUCCUGCUGCAUGGUGGGGGUUGGAAAGUUUCGGCGGUUGGGGAUGGACUCGCGGCUUAUCAGCUUGUUGGUGGGGUAGUGGCUUACCAAGGCUUUGACGGGUAGCCGGCCUGAGAGGGUGACCGGCCACAUUGGGACUGAGAUACGGACCAGACUCCUACGGGAGGCAGUAGGGGGGAAUAUUGCACAAUGGGCGGAAGCCUGAUGCAGCAACGCCGCGUGCGGGAUGACGGCCUUCGGGUUGUAAACCGCUUUCGCCUGUGACGAAGCGUUAGUGACGGUAAUGGGUAAAGAAGCACCGGCUAACUACGUG